RNAcentral lists this ribosomal RNA (115 nucleotides) under Yersinia enterocolitica. The record is from RNAcentral. Lineage: Bacteria; Pseudomonadati; Pseudomonadota; Gammaproteobacteria; Enterobacterales; Yersiniaceae.
UGGCGGCCAUAGCGCGGUGGACCCACCUGAACCCAUGCCGAACUCAGAAGUGAAACGCCGUAGCGCCGAUGGUAGUGUGGGGUCUCCCCAUGCGAGAUUAGGACACUGCCAGGUA